This 496-nucleotide ribosomal RNA is filed under the name uncultured bacterium. RNAcentral's name for it is "partial 16S ribosomal RNA". It matches the Rfam family "Bacterial small subunit ribosomal RNA", at positions 28 to 506 of the family's 1533-position model. The record is from RNAcentral.
GAUGAACGCUGGCGGCGUGCCUAAUACAUGCAAGUCGAGCGAACGGACGAGAAGCUUGCUUUUCUGAUGUUAGCGGCGGACGGGUGAGUAACACGUGGAUAACCUACCUAUAAGACUGGGAUAACUUCGGGAAACAGGAGCUAAUACCGGAUAAUAUUUUGAACCGCAUGGUUCAAAAGUGAAAGACGGUCUUGCUGUCACUUAUAGAUGGAUCCGCGCUGCAUUAGCUAGUUGGUAAGGUAACGGCUUACCAAGGCAACGAUGCAUAGCCGACCUGAGAGGGUGAUCGGCCACACUGGAACUGAGACACGGUCCAGACUCCUACGGGAGGCAGCAGUAGGGAAUCUUCCGCAAUGGGCGAAAGCCUGACGGAGCAACGCCGCGUGAGUGAUGAAGGUCUUCGGAUCGUAAAACUCUGUUAUUAGGGAAGAACAUAUGUGUAAGUAACUGUGCACAUCUUGACGGUACCUAAUCAGAAAGCCACGGCUAACUACGU